UUAUCCCACCGAGGCCACCAUAGACCAGCCAGCCCUCAGCGUACAUGCCAGCUAAUUACAGAUGCAGGAGCAAACCCCUGGCCCAUACAUCAAUUUUAAUGUCAUUGAAUACAGAGAACAAAUCUCAUUCAUUUUGGUAUCGGCUCAAGUCAACAAACAUUUAAAAAUCAUUUACUGCAUCUGAUUUUGGAUUUUGAGUCUUGCUCUAUGGCCCAGACUGGAGUGCAGUGGCGUGAUCUUGGCUCACUUCAACCUCCACCUCCCGGGUUCGAGAGAGAUUCUCCUGCCUCAUCCUCCCGAGUAGCUGGGAUCACCGGCGCCCACAACCACACCCGACUAAUUUUUGUACUUUUAGUGGAGACAGGGUUUCACCAUGUUGGCUAGGCUGGUCACAAACUCCCGACCUCAGGUUAUCCAUCUGCCUUGGCCUCCCAAAGUGCUGGGAUUACAGGCGUGAGCCCCCGCACCUGGCCAAGAUCAGCUAGAUUUUGGAAGCAUUGCCUUCUACAGAAUCCACAGUAGUCCGAAGUUCUUCUACGGUUUUUGUCAAACUUUGAUUUUCCAUCUCUAGCUUCAAUAAUCUACUUGAUGUCAACUCAUUCACCUCAUGGCCCAGGGAUUUCUGGGGUGCUAUAAUAUUGAAAAAUACACCAUUGUAUUUACUCUUUACUGUUUUUACUAUGUUUACUCUUUACUAUUUAAAAAGUUGAGUGUAUAUGCAUUGCAUCAUCUGAUCCUUAACUUUAUUAAAAAUUCAAUGAGGUUAUAUAAGAUAAACAA
This 780-nucleotide non-coding RNA is filed under the name Pan troglodytes (chimpanzee). The record is from RNAcentral. Lineage: Eukaryota; Metazoa; Chordata; Mammalia; Primates; Hominidae.